GAUGAACGCUGGCGGCGUGCCUAAUACAUGCAAGUCGAGCGAACGGACGAGAAGCUUGCUUCUCUGAUGUUAGCGGCGGCCGGGUGAGUAACACGUGAAUAACCUACCUAUACAACUGGGAUAACUUCGAGAGACCGACGCUAAUACCUGAUAAUAUUUUGAACCGCAUGGUUCAAAAAUGAAAGACGGUCUUGCUGUCCCUUAUCGAUGGAUCCGCGCUGCAUUAGCUAGUUAGUAAGGUAACGGCUUACCAAGGCAACGAUGCAUAGCCGACCGGAGAGGGUGAUAGGCCACCUUGGAACUGAGACACGGUCCAGACUCCUACGGGAGGCAGCAGUAGGGAAUCUUCCGCAAUGGGCGAAAGCCUGACGGAGCAACGCCGCGUGAGUGAUGAAGGUCUUCGGAUCGUAAAACUCUGUUAUUAGGGAAGAACAUAUGUGUAAGUAACUGUGCACAUCUUGACGGUACCUAAUCAGAAAGCCACGGCUAACUACGUG
RNAcentral lists this ribosomal RNA (497 nucleotides) under uncultured bacterium. RNAcentral's name for it is "partial 16S ribosomal RNA". It matches the Rfam family "Bacterial small subunit ribosomal RNA", at positions 28 to 507 of the family's 1533-position model. The record is from RNAcentral.